GACAGAGGGUGCAAACGUUGUUCGGAAUUACUGGGCGUAAAGCGCGUGUAGGCGGCUUGGCAAGUCAGUUGUGAAAGCCCGGGGCCCAACCCCGGAACUGCAUCUGAAACUGCCUGGCUAGAGUCCCGGAGAGGAAGGCAGAAUUCCCGGUGUAGGGGUGAAAUCCGUAGAUAUCGGGAGGAAUACCAGCGGCGAAGGCGGCCUUCUGGACGGUGACUGACGCUGAGACGCGAAAGCGUGGGGAGCAAACAGG
Molecule: ribosomal RNA, 253 nt
Filed under: uncultured bacterium
Lineage: Bacteria
Description: partial 16S ribosomal RNA
Rfam family: Bacterial small subunit ribosomal RNA
Source: RNAcentral